GAAUGGCGCGGCUUCGUGGGGUGCGUGCGGGCUACCGGCGACGAGGUAGGGGCUAGGAUUUGGGGGUUGAGGUCGCCGGAGGGAGGGGGAGCUGGUCGGCUGGGCGGUGUCGCGCACGGCGGCGCGACGGCGGCGGGCUGGGGGAGAGGAAGAACGGACGGAGAG
Molecule: long non-coding RNA, 165 nt
Organism: Juglans microcarpa x Juglans regia
Lineage: Eukaryota; Viridiplantae; Streptophyta; Magnoliopsida; Fagales; Juglandaceae
Exons: 3
Source: RefSeq, a predicted model, not a curated record